AUGUCACCUCUGCUAAAACCUCCAAACACGCCGGUUCAGACAGUUUCGGAUCUCAUUGAUAUUGAUAACUGGACGUGGAGGCAGGAUCUGAUUAGGACAACCUUCAUCGCCCCGGAUGCUGAUGCCAUUCUUAACAUCCCAAUCAGAAGGGGAGGAGGAGAGGACUUCUAUGCUUGGGCUUUUGAACGAUCAGGCAACUACACUGUUAAAUCGGCGUACCGUGCUCUAAUGACUCAGAACGAGCGCUUUGCUCUAGAGGAAGGGACGGCUACCGGCGCUUCUCGAGAUGAUAAACAGAUGUGGACGGCCUUGUGGAAAGUGAUCCCAAAAGUUCGAGUGUUC
This 342-nucleotide ribosomal RNA is filed under the name Triticum aestivum (bread wheat). Its description in RNAcentral is "partial small subunit ribosomal RNA". The record is from RNAcentral. Lineage: Eukaryota; Viridiplantae; Streptophyta; Magnoliopsida; Poales; Poaceae.